Molecule: ribosomal RNA, 468 nt
Filed under: uncultured bacterium
Lineage: Bacteria
Description: partial 16S ribosomal RNA
Rfam family: Bacterial small subunit ribosomal RNA
Source: RNAcentral
GACGAACGCUGGCGGCGUGCUUAACACAUGCAAGUCGAACGGCAAGGCCCUGCUUUUGUGGGGUGCUCGAGUGGCGAACGGGUAAGUAACACGUGAGUAACCUGCCCUUGACUUUGGGAUAACUUCAGGAAACUGGGGCUAAUACCGGAUAGGAGCUCCUGCUGCAUGGUGGGGGUUGGAAAGUUUCGGCGGUUGGGGAUGGACUCGCGGCUUAUCAGCUUGUUGGUGGGGUAGUGGCUUACCAAGGCUUUGACGGGUAGCCGGCCUGGGAGGGGGACCGGCCUCAAUGGGACUGAGAGACGGCCCAGACGCCUACGGGAGGCAGCAGGGGGGAAUAUUGCACAAUGGGCGGAAGCCGGAUGCAGCAACGCCGCGGGCGGGAUGACGGCCUUUGGGUUGUAAACCGCUUUCGCCUGUUACCAAGCGGGAGUGACGGUAAUGGGUAAAGAAGCACCGGCUAACUUCGUG